CAGAGUUGAAAAACUCCCAAACCCCUGUGAACAUACCUUUAACGUUGCUUCGGCGGGUGGCCCCCUCACAGGGGCCGCACAGCCCGCCGGAGGUAUACAAACUCUUGUAUUUUUGUUUUCUCUGAGUUGUCUUUUAAAUAAGUC
RNAcentral lists this unclassified non-coding RNA (144 nucleotides) under soil metagenome. RNAcentral's name for it is "partial internal transcribed spacer 1". The record is from RNAcentral.